Molecule: ribosomal RNA, 307 nt
Filed under: uncultured eukaryote
Lineage: Eukaryota
Description: partial 18S ribosomal RNA
Rfam family: Eukaryotic small subunit ribosomal RNA
Source: RNAcentral
CCCUUAGACGUUCUGGGCCGCACGCGCGCUACACUGACGAAGGCAACGAGCUUUCCUUUACCGAAAGGUACGGGUAAUCUUUUGAAACUUCGUCGUGCUGGGGAUAGAUCCUUGCAAUUUUUGAUCUUAAACGUGGAAUGCCUAGUAAGCGCAAGUCAUCAACUUGCGUUGAUUACGUCCCUGCCCUUUGUACACACCGCCCGUCGCUACUACCGAUUGAAUGGUUUAGUGAGGCCUUCGGAUCCGCGACUCGUUUGUGGAGAAGUUGGACAAACUCAGUCAUUUAGAGGAAGUAAAAGUCGUAACA